This 166-nucleotide transfer-messenger RNA is filed under the name Rhodomicrobium sp. Its description in RNAcentral is "partial transfer-messenger RNA". It matches the Rfam family "Alphaproteobacteria transfer-messenger RNA", at positions 1 to 164 of the family's 355-position model. From Rfam's summary of the family: Bacterial tmRNA, also known as 10Sa RNA or SsrA, is named for its dual tRNA and mRNA-like properties. Lineage: Bacteria; Pseudomonadati; Pseudomonadota; Alphaproteobacteria; Hyphomicrobiales; Hyphomicrobiaceae. The record is from RNAcentral.
GGUCUUUUUUUGCAAGACAAACUCCAUAUAUUGAAGUUGCUGGGAAACCAGCUAUGGCGAUAAACGACUGCCGGAAUAAACCUUUCGGACCCGGGGGCGGUACCCGGCGCCUCCACAAAGCGGGCGAAUGCGAACGCGCGCUUCUGAUGGGGGGCGAAAUAGGAUC